AGAGAGAGAGAGAGAGUAAAGAACCCUUGACAAUCUUAAUAAGAAUGGCCAUUAUUUACAGGUUUUUGAAGGCUCCGUUACUCAUUACCACCUUAUAUAUAUUGGCAAAUUUUGAGUUGUAGGUGUAACGGCCAUUACCAUCUUUACGUAAUGGUAAUGGCCCUUAUUUAUUGUUAAGCAAUGGUAACGGCCAUUACCUCAAUUAUGCAUU
This 211-nucleotide unclassified non-coding RNA is filed under the name Hevea brasiliensis (rubber tree). Lineage: Eukaryota; Viridiplantae; Streptophyta; Magnoliopsida; Malpighiales; Euphorbiaceae. The record is from RNAcentral.